GACGAACGCUGGCGGCGUGCUUAACACAUGCAAGUCGAGCGGUAAGGCCCUCUCGGGGGUACACGAGCGGCGAACGGGUGAGUAACACGUGGGUGACCUGCCCUCAGCUCUGGGAUAAGCCUGGGAAACUGGGUCUAAUACUGGAUAUGACUCCAAGGUGCAUGUCGUGGGGUGGAAAGCCUUGUGCGGCUGAGGAUGGGCCCGCGGCCUAUCAGCUUGUUGGUGGGGNGAUGGCCUACCAAGGCGACGACGGGUAGCCGGCCUGAGAGGGCGACCGGCCACACUGGGACUGAGACACGGCCCAGACUCCUACGGGAGGCAGCAGUGGGGAAUCUUGCGCAAUGGGCGAAAGCCUGACGCAGCGACGCCGCGUGAGGGAUGACGGCCU
RNAcentral lists this ribosomal RNA (388 nucleotides) under uncultured bacterium. Its description in RNAcentral is "bacterial SSU rRNA". It matches the Rfam family "Bacterial small subunit ribosomal RNA", at positions 28 to 417 of the family's 1533-position model. The record is from RNAcentral.